ACACGACUACAUUAGAUACCCCUGUAGUCCCAGCUGUAAACUAUGUGCGUUAAGUGUGUCAGUGACCACGUGUCACUGAGGUGCCGAAGGGAAACCGUGAAACGCACCGCCUGGGGAGUACGGUCGCAAGGCUGAACUUAAAGGAAUUGGCGGGGGAGCACCACAACGGGUGGAGCCUGCGGUUUAAUCGGACUCAACGCCGGGAAUCUCACCGGAUAAGACAGCUGAAUGAUAGUCGGGAUGAAGACUCUACUUGACUAGCUG
RNAcentral lists this ribosomal RNA (264 nucleotides) under uncultured archaeon. RNAcentral describes it as "partial 16S ribosomal RNA". It matches the Rfam family "Archaeal small subunit ribosomal RNA", at positions 717 to 982 of the family's 1478-position model. The record is from RNAcentral.